AUGACUCCCACGUGGUCUUGGGCUUCCGCUUUUGCAAAAGUCCUUUGCAGCCAGCACAGUAUCAUACCUAUAAGACGUGGAAGAGAGCAAGCUCACCGUGCUCAGGGUUUGGGGUAUGCUGUGUGUAGUGACAGCGCUCCCUGCAGGCCUCCCAGCCCACCUGUGACCUUGACCUCUUUGUCCUCAGGAGCCGGACUGUGUCCAGCGUUUCCAGCUUCCUUGCACCAGAGGAAGAGGGUUCACGAAAGGAUUGCCUUUAGAGAGUGGCGGUCGGUGGCCGCGGUGAGCCUGCUGCCAUGAUUCCCUGGAUGCGGACACAGAGCCCGCCCCUGGCCUCUUCCUGCCCACGGAGCAUCCUGCUUGCGAUCGCUUCCUUGACCUGCAAAGCCCUGUGAGAAGAACGAUGAUGUCUUAACAGUUUUAGCCCCCACCUAGCUAGGUUCUUGCAUAGUUUCUUGCACAUAGGAGAUUAAGUCAGUAUCUGUUAGUAAUUAAUUUAGUCUGAGCACGCUGCUAUCUGUCCCACAAAUACCAUAACGUCGACCGGCUUAUAAACAACGGAAAUGUCCUUCUCACAGUUCUGGAGCCUGGGCAGCCCAAGAUCAAGGCACUCGCAGAUUCUGUGUCUAGCGAGGGCCCAUUUUCUGUGCUUUCCACUGUAAGCUCACAUGGCAGAGGGGCAAUGGGUCUUUCUUUUAUAAGGCACUAAUCUCAUUCAUGAGGGCUUUGCCUUGCAGACCGAGUCACCUCGCAGAGGCCCCACUGCUUAAUACAUUCGCAUUGAGCAUUGGGUUCAAACUUCACGCAUUUUGGAGGGGCACAAACAUUCAGACCUUAGUAGUGGUAUUAGAGAACUUUUACAAAUUUAAAUAAAAUGUGAUUAUGAAAUUCUUUUAAAAACUGC
Molecule: long non-coding RNA, 904 nt
Filed under: Ursus maritimus (polar bear)
Lineage: Eukaryota; Metazoa; Chordata; Mammalia; Carnivora; Ursidae
Description: lncRNA (ENSUMAG00000016071.1)
Source: RNAcentral